AAAAAAUGUAGUGGCUUGUUUAAAACAACAAACUUGACCUAUUUAUUUAAUUAGAAUAAAUAAUUGGAACACUCACAGUGUUCUAGUGCUGCUGGUUUCAUGUUAUUUGUUGGAUAUUAUUUGAAUCUCGGUAUUUCCUAAAUUGUCUAAAAUUUGUUGGGUUGAGUCAUAUCAGAUUUCUGUAAUUUUAAGACAAAGUUUCUGAAGUCUAGCUGAAUUAUAAGUUAGCUAUUAGACACAGAAUGAGGAAUUCACUGGGAUAGACUUCUUUCUGACUGAGCUGUCUCUCCAGAGUGGCAUACGAUUCAUUACUGCUAAAUACUUCUUCCCUUAUCACCUUAAGUCAAACUUAAAUGUGACAUUUAUAAACU
Molecule: long non-coding RNA, 371 nt
Filed under: Bos taurus (domestic cattle)
Lineage: Eukaryota; Metazoa; Chordata; Mammalia; Artiodactyla; Bovidae
Description: long non-coding RNA NONBTAT023145
Source: RNAcentral